This 221-nucleotide long non-coding RNA is filed under the name Prunus persica (peach). Its description in RNAcentral is "long non-coding RNA (PPER_LNC002085)". The record is from RNAcentral. Lineage: Eukaryota; Viridiplantae; Streptophyta; Magnoliopsida; Rosales; Rosaceae.
GAAGAAAGACAUUUCAGAGACUGUCAACAUAAGGGGAAAAAGCAAACGAAAGAAAGAUGGUUCUAGUCAAUUAAUAAGCAAAUAACAUACAAGAGAGACUUGCACAACGCAUAAUGGGAACUCCAAUAAAAGAAUAGGCCGUCGGUACAUAUAUAUAUAUAGUGGUCAUAAAGCAACCAAUGGAGUUGCUCCUUUCAGUGCGUACUCACCUGAGAUGGUCC